Long non-coding RNA from Cannabis sativa, 1079 nucleotides. RefSeq lists it as uncharacterized. The transcript has 2 exons. NCBI's taxonomy places the organism in Eukaryota, Viridiplantae, Streptophyta, Magnoliopsida, Rosales, Cannabaceae. The record is from RefSeq and is a predicted model, not a curated record.
AAAUUUUGCUGUAAAAAAUAAAACAGAAAAAUAUAUGGAGAUGCGGGGUAUCGAUCCCCGUACCUCUCGCAUGCUAAGCGAGCGCUCUACCAUCUGAGCUACAUCCCCAGUUUGUUCAUUGUAAAUAAUAAUAUUUAAUUACGGGACUGAUGCAUACUCUUCUUGCUUACAUGUAGAACAAGUUGUAUAGUGUGGAAAUGGAAACGAGGUCUACCAAGAGCCCAAGCCACUGGCUGAGGCGAGUCCUGCAACGAGCUUCAUCUGGCCCCCAUAUUCCCAAAUCAUCAUAUUACUUACCUUCUCAUCUUUCACCUUCUUUGCCACGCAAACCAAACCACUUCUCAACCUACUGCCACGUUCUCCAUUGAUUGCUUUGGUCUAUACACUCCACCUGAGCAUUCUCAUGAACCUAGCUCUGAUUCUGAGCUCCUCGUCAAGCAUCUCAAAGGCAUCAUCAAGUUUUCAUUUCCAACUUUUCUUUAAUUCUAUGCAUAUUUUGUGUAUUCAAUUAUCAUCUCAAGUUAGUAUGCUCUUAGAAUUAUAAGAUGGAUGGUUCCAUCUCAAAAUUACAAUAACUCUUUCGGCUCUCUAUUUUGGAUCGAUUUUCGGAUUUUUAGUGGUUGGCUCUGAUACUAUGUUAGAAUAGUAGGAUAUAUUGGUUCCAUCUCAAAAUCAAUUAGUUACGAGAGGAGUAACCAUGGAUCAUAUGACUCUCUAUCAUUUGCAAAAUGCUAAUCUAUGUUAGUGAAUAUUGGUAUGAUUUCACCAUAAUCAGCUGAGAUGGUUCAUUAGAGCCAUUGCAUAAUGUAAUUUACAUUAGAGUCAAUUUUUAUGUUUAUUGUUUGUUAGUUCCGAGGUGGUCCAAUCUGAUUGCUGAGUAUAUGGAGGAAGUUUUGACAAAUUCUAAAGCUGGAUUUUAUAUUAGCCGAGAUGUGUUUGGAGCAUAAGGUGAUUUUAUCACCUCUUCUGAAGUGAGUCAGAUGUUUGGAGAGAUAAUUUGCUUGUUUGAGAUUCAUUCUUGUUUGUUAGUUCACUUGAGUAUUGAAAGUUGAUUAUAAUGAACUACUUUGUAUAUUGAA